RNAcentral lists this transfer RNA (83 nucleotides) under Caudoviricetes sp. RNAcentral describes it as "tRNA-Tyr". It matches the Rfam family "tRNA". From Rfam's summary of the family: Transfer RNA (tRNA) molecules are approximately 80 nucleotides in length. Their secondary structure includes four short double-helical elements and three loops (D, anti-codon, and T loops). The record is from RNAcentral. Lineage: Duplodnaviria; Heunggongvirae; Uroviricota; Caudoviricetes.
GGGAAGUUAUCCCGUAGAGGCAGCGGUGCUGACUGUAAAUCAGUUGCUUAACGGCUCGGGUGGUUCGACUCCAUCACUUCCCA